CUCGCUAGGGGAGUGGACGGGACUAACCUAAACCUUAAAAACGAUGCUCAAUUUGCUAAGCGCUAGCUUAAAAUGUAUGAAAUCGACGAGGAACUGUCCGUGGAAUCCCAUAAAGAUAACAACAGGCCAUGGCUGUGGUAUUUAUGCCUGAACUCAGCAGUCCAGCAGAUGGCAGCAGGAGGCUGAUGCUUCGGAUCACAGAGUCACUCGACGCCCAAUUAAGCUGCACGCAGGCACGUCUUCCUCUCCGUGCCCUUGAAAAUAUAUUUUUACCGGGCUCUUCUGACGGGCUGCCUCUUUGUCUCCAGCUCGCAGCUUCACACAAUGACGACGAGGAAGGAUAGAGGACACGGAGCUCACGUGUUUCGGCCUCUGGAUUCACGAAGCGGCACAAAGGGACAAGAGCUGCAGUUUUGGGGCCCGUUGAAUUAUACAUCAGCUUUUUCAGCAAAAAAAUCUGAGCUCCUUUCAGAGGGGCGGUGCCGUUCCUACUUCACAAGCCCCCGCUCCCUUGGAUCCAGUGGAAUCCAAUUGUUUAUAAUUGAUUUAUGUAAAGCUGUGUCGCAGUUUUUGGUGAAUAAUGUGAAUUAUCCUGCUGUAAUCUGUACGUGAAGGCCUCUGUGCAGCCUCGGUUGCGACGUCGUCUGUACAUUGCAUACACAGUCGGACUGAGUAUUAUUGCACAUCUAUGUCAUUCCAGGGAAAUCCCCCCCCCCACCCCCCCAUUCCCGGGUCUCCCCAGCUGUUGUCUCAAUCCCGUCUUUUAAACCCCACGUUAAUAAAACAGUAAUUGGAAGAGC
Pseudoliparis swirei is the source of this 800-nucleotide long non-coding RNA. RefSeq lists it as uncharacterized. The record is from RefSeq and is a predicted model, not a curated record. NCBI's taxonomy places the organism in Eukaryota, Metazoa, Chordata, Actinopteri, Perciformes, Liparidae. The transcript has 4 exons.